This 847-nucleotide long non-coding RNA is filed under the name Mus musculus (house mouse). RNAcentral describes it as "long non-coding RNA chr11:94044204-94045051". Lineage: Eukaryota; Metazoa; Chordata; Mammalia; Rodentia; Muridae. The record is from RNAcentral.
GUCAUCGCUUGGGAGCCGCUGCAGGAUGGAGUGGAAAGCUGCUGCUGCUGGCAUUGUUUUUGUGGCAGCAGCUGAAUGACAGAUCCUCACUACAAAGAUACCCUUUUGGCCCCUGUGUAGGCCUCCUGGUUCGGACAUUUCACCAUGCCAGCACAGCGCCAUGAAUCCUGGAUGCAUGCUGCUGUUUGUGUUUGGCUUUGUUGGCGGGGCGGUGGUCAUUAAUUCUGCGAUCUUAGUAUCUCUCUCUGUUUUGCUGCUUGUGCACUUUUCUAUUUCUACCGGGGUGCCAGCGCUGACGCAGAACCUACCAAGGAUACUCAGGUACUCUGUCCACUCUCUCGGAAGCUCCUGCUUCACUGGGGUUUUUUUGUUUGUUUGUUUGUUUGUUUUUUAUAAUUCUUAGGACCAUGAGUCUGCUUUGUAACCAUUUCUGCUGCAGAUUCAAACAAUGGAAAACGGCCUCGAGCUAGGAUGUCUAUUAAUUUGUAGGUUCCUAAAUGGAACUAUGUUUUGUGUUUGGAAAUCACAGACCAAAAAAAAAAAAGGAUUCUCUGUUGUACAAAUAUAAGGUCAGCGUGGUCACAAUGCUGAAGAGUAAGGAAGCACAAGAGCCCAGUACCAGGUCGAAGUCUGUAUAGAGCUCUGGAUUUAGCUUCCGAGUAUCGAGGGACAAAUGGCUUUUAUGCUUUGUAUUGCAAAUGGUUGGCCACAGAAUGUAGGUUUAUUUAUUUAUUUAUUUUUCUUUGAGUUAUCCUUUGCCUAAUGUAAGGUUUGAUGUCAGUUUUAUAGUUUGAGUAACAGCUAUGGAAACUGAUAUUUUCCUGCUACUAUAAAAUAUAUUUUAAAC